AUUGAACGCUGGCGGCAUGCCUUACACAUGCAAGUCGAACGGCAGCACGGGGGCAACCCUGGUGGCGAGUGGCGAACGGGUGAGUAAUGCAUCGGAACGUGCCCAGUAGUGGGGGAUAACUAGUCGAAAGAUUAGCUAAUACCGCAUACGACCUAUGGGUGAAAGCGGGGGAUUCGCAAGAACCUCGCGCUAUCGGAGCGGCCGAUGUCUGAUUAGCUAGUUGGCGGGGAAAAGCCCACCAAGGCUUCGAUCAGUAGCUGGUCUGAGAGGACGACCAGCCACACUGGGACUGAGACACGGCCCAGACUCCUACGGGAGGCAGCAGUGGGGAAUUUUGGACAAUGGGCGCAAGCCUGAUCCAGCCAUGCCGCGUGCGGGAAGAAGG
This 385-nucleotide ribosomal RNA is filed under the name uncultured bacterium. Its description in RNAcentral is "bacterial SSU rRNA". It matches the Rfam family "Bacterial small subunit ribosomal RNA", at positions 29 to 414 of the family's 1533-position model. The record is from RNAcentral.